This 253-nucleotide ribosomal RNA is filed under the name uncultured bacterium. RNAcentral describes it as "partial 16S ribosomal RNA". It matches the Rfam family "Bacterial small subunit ribosomal RNA", at positions 524 to 776 of the family's 1533-position model. The record is from RNAcentral.
UACAGAGGGUGCGAGCGUUAAUCGGAAUUACUGGGCGUAAAGCGCACGUAGGCGGCUUGGUAUGUCGGGUGUGAAAUCCCCGGGCUCAACCUGGGAACUGCAUCCGAAACUGCCUUGCUCGAGUAUGGGAGAGGGAAGUGGAAUUUCCGGUGUAGCGGUGAAAUGCGUAGAUAUCUGGAGGAACACCGGUGGCGAAGGCGGCAUCCUGGACCAAUAUUGACGCUGAGGAGCGAAAGCCAGGGGAGCAAACGGG